GCCAGACGUGGUGGCGCGCGCCUGUUGUCCCAGCUAACCGGAGGCUGAGGCAGGAGGAUAGCUUGAGCCCGGGAGAUCGAGGCUGCAGUGAGCCGUGAUGGGGCCGCUGCACUCCAGCCUGGGCAACAGAGCAAGACCCUGCCUCGA
This 147-nucleotide signal recognition particle RNA is filed under the name Nomascus leucogenys (northern white-cheeked gibbon). RNAcentral describes it as "Metazoan signal recognition particle RNA". It matches the Rfam family "Metazoan signal recognition particle RNA". From Rfam's summary of the family: The signal recognition particle (SRP) is a universally conserved ribonucleoprotein. It is involved in the co-translational targeting of proteins to membranes. Lineage: Eukaryota; Metazoa; Chordata; Mammalia; Primates; Hylobatidae. The record is from Rfam by way of RNAcentral.